CUGCGAGAAGUCCAUUGAACCUUAUUAUUUAGAGGAAGGAGAAGUCGUAACAAGGUUUCCGUAGGUGAACCUGCGGAAGGAUCAUUGUCGAGACCCAAAUUAUAUCGAGCGAUUCGGAGAACCCGUGAUUGAAAUAUGCGGCGGCGGACGUCGCCGCGGAGCGGCCGUCCNNNNNNNNNNNNNNNNCCCCCCCCCCCCAAACCACCCAGUCUGGAGGGGGUGGCCGCGACGGGGGUGGAGGCUGUUACCCCGAUCCGGCGCAGACUGGCGCCAAGGGAGCUAUCGAAGAACACGGGCCCGGCAUCGGGUCAUCGUGGGGUGGAGCGGUGCAGCGCACCGCACGUACUGACACGACUCUCGACAAUGGAUAUCUCGGCUCUCGCAUCGAUGAAGAGCGCAGCGAAAUGCGAUACGUGGUCGAAUUGCAGAAUCCCCCGACCAUCGAGUCUUUGAACGCAAGUUGCGCCCAGGCCAAUCGGUCGAGGGCACGUCCGCCUGGGCGUCAAACGGUGGGCCGCUCCGUGCCGAGUCCCCACCAACCCGCCGCGGUGGGGGGGGUCCGGGCGAGGCUCGGACGUGCAGAGUGGCUCGUCGUGCCCGUCGGUGCGGCGGGCUGAAGAUCGGGUUAUCGUCUCAUUGGCCACGAACAACGAGGGGUGGAUGAAAGCUGCCGCGGGCGAGGCCCGCGUUGUCUCGUGCCGGCCCGAGAGAAGAUCACACCCUUCGUGCGAUCCCAUCCCACGCGCCGCCACCCGUGCGCGGCUUGGAAUGCGA
Molecule: ribosomal RNA, 774 nt
Filed under: Aerides huttonii
Lineage: Eukaryota; Viridiplantae; Streptophyta; Magnoliopsida; Asparagales; Orchidaceae
Description: eukaryotic LSU rRNA
Rfam family: 5.8S ribosomal RNA (bases 353-505)
Source: RNAcentral